AGCGUGGAGAGCACACGG
RNAcentral lists this small nuclear RNA (18 nucleotides) under Arabidopsis thaliana (thale cress). RNAcentral describes it as "snRNA_14869". Lineage: Eukaryota; Viridiplantae; Streptophyta; Magnoliopsida; Brassicales; Brassicaceae. The record is from RNAcentral.